RNAcentral lists this long non-coding RNA (4237 nucleotides) under Homo sapiens (human). Its description in RNAcentral is "novel transcript, overlapping to VTI1A". The record is from RNAcentral. Lineage: Eukaryota; Metazoa; Chordata; Mammalia; Primates; Hominidae.
AGCAGACAUUUUCAAAGGCUUCUCUCCCCUUCUUCUCCUCUCUCUGUCCCCCAUGCGGAAAGGGGAAAAUAGAAGUAGAAUCCAGAUUGGGGCGCGUGGCUGAUUUGGUCCUCCUCCCGCACCAUCCUCCCCCAGACAGCAGAGAAACUUUGAUGUCUGGGUGCAUGGCAUUCAGGGACAGAGGAGCCUGGGCAUCCCAGCAAAUGCAGCCGCAUGUUCCGCCUCUGGACGGCCUCUCUGAACUCCUUUGUGAGGGGAGAUGAAGCCCACAGAGCUGGAAAGAGCAGCGUUUUGAAAUGAGGAAGUGUGGAUCGGCAUUCCUUGAGCUCAGUGCUAGCCACCUUGGCGAUGGGGUGAGCCAACCAGGAGCUCAGAUUUAUAAAACUUUUGAGCUUUGUGGGCCCUAGGGGGCCACUGUGGCCUACCUGCUGAUUUUCAGAUGGGGAAAUGGGGGCUCAGAGAGGGGACAAGAUUUGCUUAAUGGCACCUAGCAAAUUGGUAACAGGUCCAGGAGUAGAUUCCAUGCCUUCAGCCUCUGGUGAGACGUCUUUCCUCUGCACCAGGAAGUGGAACUUCAAACAGCACCAGGGGUUGGAACUUUUGUUUCAAAUCCUCUCUGCCUCAUCCCCACCCACUGCCCAGCAACUCAAGGCUGGGUCUUUCGCCCCCUCAGGCUCAGAAGGGCUGUGGCCCAGCCACAGAGCCAGGGGGCCUCCUCAGUAGUAUUGGCCUUCACACUCUUGGUGCUAAAGUUCUCCAGUUACUUUUUUAUUAAACCAACAUGUACAGAAAAACUCAGUUUUCGGCUGGGCACAGUGGCUCACACCUGUAAUCCCAGCACUUUGGGAGGCCGAGGCAGGCAGAUCACUUGAGGUCAGGAGUUCGAGACCAGCCUGGCCAACAUGGUGAAACCCUGUCUCUACAAAAAUACAAAAAUUAGCUGGGCGUGGAGGCGCGUGCCUGUAGUCCCUGCUAGUCAAGAGGGUGAGGCAGGAGAAUCGCUUGAACCUGGGAAGCCGAAGUAGCAGUGAGCCGAGAUCGCGCCACUGCACUCCAGCCUGGGUGAUAGAGCUGGAGGGAAACCCUGAUACCACUUCUGGGUCCAGAUGGCUGUGGCUGGAAUGCGGCCACAGCCAGGAACAGCGUGGUACGGAUACCAGUGGGGCUCUGGUCUUUUCCCAGAGGCUGGCACCUUUCAUGCCGAGUUGGGCCUCGGGUCUCGGGGCUCUAGGCCCUGCUGUGCCAGUGGCCUGAUGUGUGGCCUUAUAUGCCAGUCACACCCUGCUCCAGACCUCGGUUUCCUCAUCCACAAAAUGGGAAAGCUGGGCUAGAAAAUCUCUCAGGAAGGUAGGUCUCUGCUAGCUCCCAGCCUUCCAUGGCAGUGCAAAGGGAACCUUCCCAACAAAGUAAGAGCCAAAGGCUAAGAUGGCAGUCUGUGGUUUGUAGAACCUUCUAGAAGACCACGAGACUUGGUAAGCUGAGCUUCUAAGUGGUCCAGGAUGCAGGGCUGGUGUCACAGGUGUGUGACCAGUAGAGCUACACAGGGCUUUGUGCCCAGAAGGGCCCCACGCUUGGGAAAUAAGGCUCUGCAGUCACUGUCUUCAAAUUCUUAAUAAUUUUAUCUUUGUCACUGUGUUUUGUAAGUGAAGUCCAAUGGGACAGUGGAAUGUGAACUGGGAGCAUGGAGCCUCCCAUCUCCCUGCGUCCAGGAUCUGCUUCUCAGCUGCUUGCUCCUCUGCCCCCACAGCUCCAGCUCCAGCUCCACUCACCUUCUACCUCCCUGCCUCCCACCCAGCAACCACUGCCAACCUGCCCCCAACCUGGGCACAGGCACACCCUGUGGGGGAGGGGGACAAGCACACCCCACAGCAUCUCAGAGUGGGGCAUGGUGGCAGCAGUCCCCAUCCUGCACUGGCAGCCCAGGGCACAUUUCAUGUGGGACUCUGCGGGGGUGAGCCUCUAGCCCCCCCCAGAUCCAGUACCUCGUGUGUCCUGGUACAAAAUUUGUAGUGCCCCGGGGGCUGCCCAUCUGCUAUGGGUUGGGGCAGGGGCCUGUGGGAGGAUGCCUGGCUCAACCUCCUGCCCUAGGCCUGGAGCACAACAUGUGGGCCCAGCAGCUCACAGGAAAGGGAGCCAGAAGAUGGGUUCAAGUGUUUGUGUGUUCCCCAAGUCACCAGGGUGCCUGUGGGGGUCUGCACUCCCCCAGGAGAACCCUCAUGUCUAGGGAGCACUCCAUGGGGUCAUCUCCAUGCCUGAGAGGACCCUCUCUUCCUUCUUUCAACCUUCCGGAGCCCAGCUUGUCUCUUCCGGCCAGGUCAAGGUAUCCUCCUGAGAGAACCGUGAAAUACAGUGUGCCGCUUUGAUAAUUCCACAUGCAUGUUCAAUAUUCGGAUAUUUCCAGUUAAAACUGGCAUUGCACAAUAUAAAAAGGAAUGGUAAAAGUCAUGCUAAUAAUUUAAAAUUUUGACUUUACUUAGAAUGGUAUUAACUAGCAAAUUUAAAACACCAUGACAAAUUGAAAGUGAGACUGGGGAAGAAAGCAAAAAGCAUGUUUUCUGACUGUUUGAACAAGGGGCCCCACAUUUUCGUUUUGUAGUGGGUCCUGAAAAUUAUGUAGCCAGUCCUGCCUGGUGAGCCACCUACCCUCUUGGGCAUUUAGUUGUCUAUCAGUAAACUAGAUCAUUAACACUGCGCCUGCCCCUCCUGCUCACGGGCACGUUAGGAACAUGCGCUUGGAUAAAAUCCAAGCCAGAGAUUUAGAAACCAGUGUGUGGUGCCAGCUCUCAGCCUUGGAACCACAAGCCCAUUUUUCUUAAAAAGGGAUCUGGACUGGCAUCCAAAGAGAUUUCAGUCCCCUCAUAUAGGUUUAACCACCAUGGGCAAGGCAGUCUCUCUCCCAGGUAUUCCUCUCACUAGGUGCUCUGCUCUAGAAAUGAAGUCUAAAAGCAGCCCCAUCAAUACAGAACAGAGUUAGAACCACCCGGAGAGAUUUAAUCUGGAAUCCCAGCAAGUUGUGAAAUGGAAAGACUAGUCGGCCAGAGAGCUGAGGUCUCACAGUGUGCAAAGACCAGUCCUCAGUAUCUGCACCCAUCCAUUUGAGUUUCAGGUGAAGCCUAGGAUUUGGGAGCUCAAUACAAAGAUGCCAGCAUGAAGGAGGGUGGGUGCCAACUAGGUUUGGAUUUAGAGACAUCCUCCUUUUGGGAAAGGAAAAUAUCCUGAUUCCACUUAGGUUUCCAGGAAGAAGGCAUCCCCAUUUCAGAACAGUUUUCUAAGCCACCCUCAUGGAGGUUUCACCUGCAGCUUUCAGUCUGCUUUGUCUGAUGUUUGAGGAUGCAACUGCCCAAAAAUGGGUCUAAAGUAGCAUCCCGUCACGUUCUGUAAAAAGUAAUACUGCUUUAAGGUAACACUUAUGGAAUGAAUGAAUGCAUGAAUGAAUGAGUCAGUUUGGAUGAAGUUGCCUCAAAUAGAGUCUAAAUAUAAGAUUUCAUACUCGAUAGUGUCAUUUCAGGAUCAGGAAAAAUUAGGUGACUCCCAUUUGGUUUCUACAGCUUUUCCCCAAUAUCAUGUUAAAGUUUUGGCUUUUAUCUUAUUUCACUUAUUUCAUUUUGAGUCAUGUCUUCUGGCUCCAGCUCAGCUUCCUAGAGAUAAUUCAUUAGGCCCGAGAGCUGCUCCAGAGUGGGAUUAGAACCCGUGUAGUACAUAGUCACAUUAAACUGAGAUCGGCUAAUUAAUCGCUCUUCUCCGUGUAACUGAGCGAUCGCGCUCCUUCCCCGAGGAAUUGCAAUUUCAUGGUUCCUAAUGAUGGUGCGAUUACAUUAUGUGGAUCACUUAGGCUGUGGGUGUCAGGAGCGGUACUUGGAGCCUCUCUCGGUGGGGAUGGGAGAAGUCACUUCUAAAACCGGGGAGAUGGAGGAAAGCAGUUAGAAUGUCUGUUACUAAUUUUUGUUAACGUGCUGCUGUUUCCUACAUCUCAUUCAGGCAUUAGUUUCAAGUUCCAUUUUCCCCCAGCACCGUGUGGCACCUUCCCCAGAACCCUCACAUUUUUUUUCUAAUAUUCACAGGGUUAUUGUUUGUAAAAAAUCUAUUUAUUUGCUUUAUUCCAUCAAGUAAUUUAUUUUCAUGAGAUUUCUUGGAAAUGUGGCUCUACAUAUCGUUAGUACAAGUAAUACAUUUUGAUUGUUGUUUCCUGGAAUAACUUGUAUUAUUUGAUGAGUUAAAUAAAAUGCCUAAUUCUAAA